This 444-nucleotide ribosomal RNA is filed under the name uncultured bacterium. Its description in RNAcentral is "SSU rRNA". It matches the Rfam family "Bacterial small subunit ribosomal RNA", at positions 26 to 518 of the family's 1533-position model. The record is from RNAcentral.
AGAACGAACGCUGGCGGCAGGCUUAACACAUGCAAGUCGAACGCCCCGCAAGGGGAGUGGCAGACGGGUGAGUAACGCGUGGGAAUCUACCUGGUUCUACGGAAUAACUGAGGGAAACUUCAGCUAAUACCGUAUACGCCCCAAGGGGGAAAGAUUUAUCGGUGCCAGAUGAGCCCGCGUUGGAUUAGCUAGUUGGUGGGGUAAUGGCCUACCAAGGCGACGAUCCAUAGCUGGUCUGAGAGGAUGAUCAGCCACACUGGGACUGAGACGCGGCCCAGACUCCUACGGGAGGCAGCAGUGGGGAAUAUUGGACAAUGGGCGAAAGCCUGAUCCAGCCAUGCCGCGUGAGUGAUGAAGGCCUUAGGGUUGUAAAGCUCUUUCAGUGGGGAAGAUAAUGACGGUACCCACAGAAGAAGCCCCGGCUAACUUCGUGCCAGCAGCCGC